Molecule: long non-coding RNA, 3828 nt
Filed under: Sus scrofa (pig)
Lineage: Eukaryota; Metazoa; Chordata; Mammalia; Artiodactyla; Suidae
Description: lncRNA (ENSSSCG00015013100.1)
Source: RNAcentral
UUUUUGGGCCACACCCAAGGCAUGCAGCAUUUCCCUGGCCAGGGAUCAAACCCACACCACAUCAGUGACAAAUGUCAGAUCCUUAAUCCACACAGCCACCAAAAAGCUCCACAAGUUAUUGUCUUUAUUUUUUUCCCUCCUUUAUAUCUGCUUUUAUUUCAUAAACACCCAGCAGGAGACAGGUUUCAUGAAUUUGCUUUUUAAAAUUCCUAACAACUAUAAAGCUUCAUAGAGGGAGGACAGAACAUACAGGGUUGGGAGGGAAAAAAAAGAAAACCCUGAAGAAGAUUCAAAGCUUUUGUCACCAGAACAAUAUCUAAAUUUAAUACAUAAUCUUACUGUUAGGAUGGCGGAGUCGAGAGAAACAGAGGCUGGAGCAGUGAGAUCACAAGCAGGUUUAUGGACCAACACAGAGGCCGGGAGCACCGAGCAGGGAGAACUCAGGCUCCCUGCUAUUGGGGGAAGGGCUUUUUUAUAGCUAGGGUUUCGUGGGAUGGAUCACAGAGGCUCAAGGGGAAUGGGGAAGAGAGCUUGAGAAAUGCAGAGGGAGGAUUUGGGUCUUAGGUGUGAGUUUCAAUAGUCUUUUUGGCUCUGUUCAUUUUGAGGUUUCAACAACUCCUUAACUUAUCUUGGUCCUGGAGCCUUCAUCCUGCCGGCAUCUGUUUUUCCUGUUGGUUUGCUCCGCUGACAAGGUGUCUGGAGCCUGGGUGGGAUCUCUCCAGUUUAUAGACCCCAACACUUACUAGUUUUUGGGUUUUUUUUUGUCUUUUGUCUUUUUAGCCCCCACUCCCCCACCUGGCAUAUGGAGGUUCCCAGGCUAGGGGUCAAAUUAGACCUGUAGCCGCCAGCCUACAGCCACAGCCACGCCAGAUCCGAGCCACAUCUGCGACCUACACCAUAGCUCACGGCAAGGCCGUUCCUUAACCUGCUGAGCAAGGCCAGGGAUGGAACCCUCAACCUCAUGGUUCCCAGUCGAUUCGUUUCCGCUGCGCCACGACGGGAACUUCAACACUUACUAGUUUUAAUUACAGGAUGAAAACUCUGAAUUAAUUACAGAUUUGAAUUUUUAAAGUAGUUCAGUUUAUCUCAAGUACGAAAGACAGUAAUUCAAACUGCGCUAAUCAAAGGUGGCUCAGUGGACAUCCUAAGAGGUUUAGUUUUAAUGAAUUAAUAGAUUUAUGAUUCACUUCUCAACAAUUUGAGUAGAAACAAGAUAUUUUAGACAGGAUCUGAAAAUUGUUCUUUAAUGUCGAGUUCCUGUCAUGGCUCAACAGUUAACGAACCCAAAUAGCAUCCAAGAGGACGCAGGCUCAGUCCCUGGCCUCACUCAGUGCAUUGGGGAUCUGACGUUGCUGUGAGCUGUGGUGUAGGUGGCAGGCAAGGCUCGGAUCCCGAGUUGCUGUGGUGUGGUGUCGGCUGGUGGCUACAGCUCCAAUUCCACCCCUGGGAACCUGGGAACCUCCACGUGGCCGCAGGUGUGGAGGAAAAGGCAAAAGAAAAAAGAAUCAGUCUUGGAGUUCCCCUUGUGCUGCAGCAUAAAUGAACCCGACUAGAAUCCAUGAAGAUGAGGGUUCAAUCCCUGCCGUUACUCAGUGGGUUAAGGAUCCAUGAGCUGUGGUGUAGGUCACAGAGGCCAGCCCCUAGCAUGGGAACUUCCUUAUGCUGUGGGUGAGGCCCUAAAAAAAAAUAAAUCAUCUUUUUAGUAUGGUAACAGAUGGAAACCAAAUUCUGGGGAGUGAGCACAAUGCAGUGUAUACAAAAGUAGAAACAGAAUGUAUACAUAGAGUAUAUAACAUUAUAAACCAAUGUAUCUCAAUUUUUUAAAGGUAUAAAAAAAGAAUCAGUCUUUUCAUACUUUUUACAUUACUCUUUUUGUCUUCAAAUAAUUUUUCCAAACAGUGAAAAGAUAAAUUUUAGCCAGUUUAUAUCCAAAAUAACAACAAUUUCUAAAUAAGUAUGACCAAAUGGAAAAUAUCUUGUGAAUAAAUCUGGCAAUGGACUUAGCUGUUCUUUCAGUUGCUCAAUAAAAUUUGAGCCCAAUUCUAAAUUUACAAGCAAAUAUUUUCUAAAAUAUCUGAUAGGUGUGUUUUUAAAUCCUUGUUAACUGUUUAAAAGUUCCUUAGGUUGUCACACCUGUUAUAUCUGCAUAUACUUAACCUACUCAUAGAUAUUUAUGCUAAUUCAUUAGCUCCCUCAGGGUGGGAAGGGCCGACUUUAUAUACUUUAUCGUCUUAGAGCACUGAUGCAUUGCUUCCCGGGUCAGAGACAAAUAAAUCUUUUAGUAUAAUUGCGGUUGCUUUAUGUGCCGCUGUCUCCCUGCUGGGAAAAAUGUUAAAAUAUUUAAGGUUUACUAUCUCCUGUGAGGGUGCUUGUAUAAUUAAAAUGUGGGAUGGGAGGAGAGAAUGGCAGAAUUUAAUACUUGCUUUUAGUUGGAAUAAGUUAGUUUGAAUUAGUAAACUUUGAGAGAGAGUCGAUAGAAGGACAAGUUUUGCUGAAGAAGAGCUGGCAGCGUCGUUUUGAGAUCUCUGCGACAGUCCUUUGGAUUCAGACUAGCUCAGGUAGGAUAGAGGUAGAACUGGGGGAUGGGUAUGGCACAGAGAUCACGAUUCCUGUCCGUGCCCUAUCAUCAGCGCUCACACACACCAAGCCUUCAUACCACAUCUGCUUUUACCUUCCUCCUCUGUAUCUGUCUACAUACCUGAAAAGCAGGUGGAAAAGCAGUUUUGUCCCUAAUAAGCACAUGAUUUUGGAGUUCCUGUCGUGGCUCAGUGGUUAACGAACCUGGCUAGGAACCAUGAGGUUGCGGGUUUGAUCCCUGGCCUUGCUCAGUGGGUUAAGGAUCCAGUGUUGCCGUGAGCUGUGGUGUAGGUGGCAGACGUGGCUCGGAUCCCGCGUUGCUGUGGCUCUGGCGUAGGCCGGUGGCUAUGGCUCCGAUUGGACCCCGAGCCUGGGAACCUCCAUAUGCUGUGAGAGUGGCCCCAGUAAUGGCAAAAAAAAAAGACAAAUAAAUAAAUAAAUAAAUAAAUAAAUAAGCACAUGAGUUUGAGCUGAACUAUCCGACUGCAGAGAUUCUUCAAAUUCUUCAUCUCGGCCUUGCUCUGCAGACUUGUGCUUCCCAGUACAACCAAUAGAUACUCCUCGGCUCACCAAUUCCCUCCCAGGGCCCACAGCCUUGGGGUUCUCCAAGGAAAAUAAAGUUCCAUCUCACACCUAAGAAGGAUGACUUACUCCUGGAUGUGAAUCCAACGAGCAAGAUUAUUUUUCUUUGAAACAUAAUUCAGUCAAUAACCUGAUUUCAUUCUAGUCGCUUAUCCUGUUUGAAGGGAAAGCAUGUGCAUAAGAGCAGCCUGCAAGAGAAACCAGAGUUUUCCAGUGCACAUUACGGUCUGUGCACUGUGCCCCGGAGAGGGCUGGAUCAGUCAGCAUCAUGGGGCAGGAAAAACGCAAACGGUUAUAAAGGCCACACACUCCAGUGACAGCUACGCUGCUGCAGCCGGAAAAGGAGCAAAUGGUCCUUAGUAAGACCCUAUUUGGGGGAAGAAGAGACUGUGCAGAGGGUCCAAGAGAAUGACUCUGUGGUUUGCAAUUGGCUAGUCAAUUCUCAACAUAAGUGAAUCCAGCAGACAUGAUUGUUUAGAAAAGCAAUUAAACACGGUUCAAUCUUUCUUGGUUAAUUAACGGAUUUUCAUCUGGAGGUGUGGCUGGAGGAAGGAGCCUCCUGGAAACCAGGAUCUGAAAGAAGUGUUAAGUGUGAAAAAAAUCAGUUCCAGAUGAUUCUGUUUAUAUCCAGACUAUUACAUCUAGACACUGGAAAUUAAACUAUAGGUC